This 1120-nucleotide long non-coding RNA is filed under the name Sus scrofa (pig). Its description in RNAcentral is "lncRNA (ENSSSCG00015047683.1)". The record is from RNAcentral. Lineage: Eukaryota; Metazoa; Chordata; Mammalia; Artiodactyla; Suidae.
AAUAUAUACACCAUUAUUAACAUAAAUACUUCCUUCAUACUCAUUUCAUAACAAAAAUAGCGGAUUUCUCAAUCUAUUUUAUGUAAACAGCUCAUAAUUUUUUCCAACACUAAAGACUGGUUCUUUUUGGAUUUCUGAGUGGUAUAGAAGUUGUUCCCAACUGUUUCAACUACUAGUACUCCAUUUUAAUGGCAAAAAUAUUCAAGCAUCUCUGCCCACAAUAGGCUUUGAUCUUAAAUUAUUCAUUGAUUAGGAAAAAAAGUACAAUGAUAAGAAAAUAUAAUCAAUGCAGUGAUAGUUUUAAUAGAAUGUAUGUUUUUGGAUAAGCCUUUGCCAAAUGGAACAUUUAGUCAAUCAUCUAUAAGUCUCUGUAUAUCCUUUUAUUUGGCCUCAAAUUGACUAGACCAUUAUUUUAAAAAGUAAAACAUAUUUUGUCUUAUAAAAAAGUAUGUUUUGGAGUUCCCGUCAUGGCACAGUGGAAACGAAUCCGACCAGGGACCAUGAGGUUGCAGGUUCCAUCCCUGGCCUCACUCAUGGGUUAAGGAUCCAGCAUUGCCAUGAGUUGUGGUGUAGGUCGCAAACACAGCUCGGAUCUGGCGUUGCCAUUGCUAUGGCUCUGGCGUAGGCUGGCAGCUACAGCUCCGAUUCAACCCCUAGUCUGGGAACCUCCAUAUGCCAUGGGAACACCCCUCAAAAGACAAAACAAACAAACAAACAAAAAGUAUGUUUUGUAACCACCCACAAGUGCUUUUGUACACAUUUGAAAAACAGCACUACAACCACAUUCAAGAUACACUAGCUAUUCAUUAGUAGUUAAACUACAGGUAAUGCUUGGUUCAUAUGUGAGCUCUUAUAGUCUCUACAAUCCCUAUCAUAACUUUUCUGAGAAGCCCAAAUACUGGAUAAAUGUAGCAAAGCAUGUAUACAUACAAAAUCUGUAAGAUCAUCACAAACGUGUAUUAUGCAUAAAUAAUCUAUAAGGAAAAAUAAUCAAAAUAGUGAUACAUAACCUCCAUUAAAAUAACCCUGAAGGUUUUUACUUCAUCAAUGUUUUACACUGUGAUUUUUUUUCAUGGAAAAUUUUCUAGUAAAAGAGAUGAGAAGCUGCAAGCAGGUUCUG